Molecule: transfer RNA, 41 nt
Filed under: Diadema antillarum
Lineage: Eukaryota; Metazoa; Echinodermata; Echinoidea; Diadematoida; Diadematidae
Description: partial tRNA-Lys
Source: RNAcentral
UCUUAAUUUAAAAGACAGUAGNUAANCUCUACUAUUAAGGG